GUAGGUGGCAAGCGUUGUCCGGAAUUAUUGGGCGUAAAGCGCGCGCAGGCGGUUCUUUAAGUCUGAUGUGAAAGCCCACGGCUCAACCGUGGAGGGUCAUUGGAAACUGGAGAACUUGAGUACAGAAGAGGAAAGCGGAAUUCCACGUGUAGCGGUGAAAUGCGUAGAGAUGUGGAGGAACACCAGUGGCGAAGGCGGCUUUCUGGUCUGUAACUGACGCUGAGGCGCGAAAGCGUGGGGAGCAAACAGGGAUUAGAUACCCUGGUAGUCCACGCCGUAAACGAUGAGUGCUAAGUGUUAGGGGGUUUCCGCCCCCUUAGUGCUGCAGCUAACGCAUUAAGCACUCCGCCUGGGGAUACGGCCGCAAAGCUG
RNAcentral lists this ribosomal RNA (372 nucleotides) under uncultured organism. RNAcentral describes it as "partial 16S ribosomal RNA". It matches the Rfam family "Bacterial small subunit ribosomal RNA", at positions 527 to 896 of the family's 1533-position model. The record is from RNAcentral.